CCCUUAGAUGUUCUGGGCCGCACGCGCGCUACACUGACUGGUGCAACAAGUGUCGCUCCUUGGCCGAUAGGCCUGGGCAAUCUUUGAACGCCAGUCGUGAUGGGGAUAGAUUCUUGCAAUUUUUGAUCUUCAACGAGGAAUUCCUAGUAAACGCGAGUCAUCAACUCGCAUUGAUUACGUCCCUGCCCUUUGUACACACCGCCCGUCGCACCUACCGAUUGAAUGGUCCGGUGAAAUCUCGGGACGGCGGCUUGGUCGCUUGCGUCCGACUGCUGAAACUUGAUUAAACCAUAUCAUUUAGAGGAAGGUGAANUCGUANCA
RNAcentral lists this ribosomal RNA (321 nucleotides) under uncultured eukaryote. RNAcentral's name for it is "partial 18S ribosomal RNA". It matches the Rfam family "Eukaryotic small subunit ribosomal RNA", at positions 1470 to 1796 of the family's 1831-position model. The record is from RNAcentral.